UUCUUGCUGUCUCCCAUGGUGAACGCGUCGGGUGGGGGUUCCUCUCCGCGCUCCACCUUGCACUCAUAGGCGAACAGGUAUUGGAUGUACUGCUUCUUGAGGGAACUGGCAGAGCUGCUGGAUGUCCCCACAUUCAGGACGGUCCUUGAGGGGUCAUCCUGGCUGAGCUGUUGCUGGGUGGAUGGUUGUAGGGGCCUCCAGGACCCAUUCCAAGCAUGUGGGGCCCACCCUGAUACCCGCCUGGCCUAUGGACAACAGCACAAAAACAUAAGGACGCCAACAAAGCUUAAGAAUGUGAAGAGUUUAUUGGCAGUCAAAUGAUCAGAUCUUUGUGGGAGAGCAUUGGAAGGCAGUGAAGUCUGGACACAUUUUAGCCAAAUUGACAUUCUUCAAAACUAGUAUGGGACCAAAGCCCCAGCAGGCCAUCAGAGAGCCCGUUGUUAAUGAAGUAUGUCUCCUCAUGACAUGUUUCAAGAGCAACCGUCUGAGGACAUUCAGCCUGACACCCACUGGACGCCAAGUUUCUCUCGUCAAGUUUCUCAGGGGACGAGACAUCAUGUUCACCACGUGGAGUUCCGUCUAACGUGCUGAUGUGCAUAAUGGGCAUAAAUUUAAUCAUGCCCAGAUCGCUGCUUGGCAGGAAGAGUUCAAGCAGCAUUUCAGUCACAAUUAGAACUGGGAUUUCCACUCCUCAAGCUGUCGAAACGUUGAGGUCUCUGGCUCAUUCAGGUUUCAAGAGUUCCCUGUGGAAAUCAGAGAGUCUUGGCAUGUUUUCUUCUUUCCCAGUGUUAAAAAAAGGACUAAAAAUGUAUUCCAAAAUCACAUGAAGCAGGUUGGGGGAUGCUGGCUUUUUGCCCCCGUUCUGUAGUUACACUGAAUCGAGACCCUUAACAAGCUCCUUCACGGUGGGGAGGAUGGGCACUCCAGCCUGCAAGGAUGUAGACGUGGACCUGGAGCAAUGCCAAUUACACAGAAAUGCCUUACUGCUGUCAGACACUCUGUGGUGACUUUCCUCCAGCCCUGUUAAUCCCAACAUUCCCUCAGGUGAGAAAGAGGGAAAGGUGACAUGAAUGUGAAGGAUGCAGCCGGCUGCCCUUCUGACAAGUGCCGUGAGCGAUGCAUAGAUGACAGAGGGUUUGGGACAUGGGAACACAAUUUGAUGCCUACUGUGAGCUAAAAAGAUGUGUAUCUCACCUUGUUUUGGUGACCCCCAUGUUUCUGGAAUUCAGCUACACAAAACGCCAAAGCUUGUUCUGACACAACAAGACUCAAAGGCUUCCCACUUUCCCUGCCUUCAACUCAAUUCACAUCAACAACUAAGCUUUGAGUCAAAGACAUUUCUCUGUUUAAAGGGAAUAUAUCAUGGAAAAGGGGAUUUUCCUUGCUCGUUUGAAACUCUGCAGAUCAAAAACACUUUAAAUUCAUCAUAAGCCCAGUCUUAUGCUGUUUUUCACAAUUUUUCACCCUUAAUGACAAAGAAAUAAAUAGAUUUGUGCUAACUUUGCAGAUUUCAUAAAAAAUGUAAAAAUGAAAUAUCACACUGACAAAAGCAUCCAGACCAUUUGCUCUGGGUUAUCGUUGAGAUGUUCCCUCACUUUUGGAUUCCACCUGUGGCAAUAUUCAAUUGAUUGGACAUAAUAUAUCUGUAUAAAUUAGUCCAACAGCUUAAAAAAUACAUAGGCAUAUUAGAACAAAAACCAAGCCACGAGGUCCAAGGAACUGCCUGCAGAGCUCAAAGACAAAAAUGUGUUGAGGCACAGAUCUGGGGAAUGUUACAAAAACAUUCCUCUGAACUGAAGGGUUCCCACUAGCACAGUGGCCUCCAUAAUUCGUAAAUGGAAGAAGUUUGGAAGUCUUCCUAGAGCUGGCUAUCCAGCCAAAAGAAAUCAGGGGAGAAGGGUCUUAGUGACUAAGCUCCAGAGAUCCUGUGUGGACCAUAUGACCACAGAUGGGCUGAAAGUUCACUCUCUAACAGGACAAUGACACUAAGCACACAGACAAGACAAGAGUGGCUUAGGGAUGACUGUGAAUGCCCCCGAGUCGCCCAGCAAGAGCCGGACUUGAACCACAUAGAACAUGUUCACAGACGGUCUCCAUCCAACCUGAGAGAGCUUGAGAGGAUCUUCAGUGAAGAAUGGCAGAAAACCCCAAAUCCAGACGUGAAAAACUUGUUGCCUCAUAACCAAAAAGACUCGAGGAUGUAAUUGCCACAAAAGGUGAUUUAACUAAGUACUCAGUACAUAUGCAAUGUGACAUUCUCAGUUUCUUUAUUUUAAUAAUUUUGCAUUUGAGUUAUCACAAAAAUGCUUUUCGUUGUCAUUAUUUGGGGUUUGGAGUGUAGAUUGAAGUGGGAAAAAAUAAAAAAAAUACUUUCUGAGUGCGCUGCAUGACGGUCAAUGUUUAUGCCGGCUGAUUUUUCAGCAGAUUUUCAAUCAUAAUCCUCAUUUACAUAGUUGAUGGAGAAUCAGAUCUCAACAGGGGAGCCUUAACAGCUGCAAUGACUCAACACCCUGCUGAGUUAAUAGCCUUACUGACUAGAAAUCAAGUUCUGUCUCGUUCAAAAUUAACAUUCAUUUGGUAGGACAAUCAUUUGGCUGUGGCAGUGACCAUUGACCAAUGAGCUUCUAAAGAAGCAACAAGCCAUUGUCAUGCUUGAAACUCAAAGACUUUCAUCCCUCUGCCAUUCUUGAUUGCCAAAUCUAACACACCUUCAACAAAAGAGGGCGAGAUUUAAUCAAAAACAGUUGGCAGGAGAGAGAACUCUCUUUCUGAUCAAAAUAACUGUUUUGGGUCGACUAGUGAGACAUUUUUACAUAUCAACCCCCACUAAACCCCUAGUAAAAUGGGUAACCCCUACUAAACCUGGUGGCCCUGAUGAAUGACAGUGUAAUUUACAAUGGUCAGAUUCAUAUGCAAACAGGUUAGCCAAUCAAAAAAGGUAAUCUACAUAAAUUGUUUUAAAGGUACAUUAGAUAAACUAUUGUGUAACACGGAUGGCUAAAGUAUACUUUGGGCUUAAUCACAGCAAAUCUAGUCCCAUCACCGAAACUCUGUGAUGUGACCCCUGUUACCUGUUAAUAUGGGCACCAAAAUGAAUCAAUGUAAAACAAGAUGUAUGAGACAAGUGUAUGAGUCAAAGAGAGUGUGGAAAAUUGUCAAAAAAAAAAAACUGAAUUAUGAAUGUCUGUAUUGUAAGUAGACUUCAGGAAACAAUAAAAUGCUACAUUUAUGCUGUUCCAAACUAUGAAUUGACUGAGGCGUCUAUUCAUGGAUCCUAUCAAUCUGUGUACACAAUUCUGUGGUCGACUGCCGCUAUAGCUCAGUCAGUGUCAGGCCUGCGACGGCGGCUGCUCCCCUGUUGUCUUGAGCCGGCUGUCAGUCAUUUGAAUGAGAGUACAGGACAACAGGGACUAUCAAUCAGGCAGAGUGGAGGCCAUGACAUUAUAAAGGCACGCUUAGCAGCUAUUCAUUUAUUACACCAGCACGCCAUAACAUUCAUGAUGAAUUGCUGCUGAGCCCUGUUAAUGGGGUCUCUUUCACAGACGCACACAGCUGAAACAAGAACGGACACUUUAAGUAUUGAUAGAGAUUCACCGAUGUAUCGGCCAACAAUCGGUAUCGGCCUAUAAAAGCUAUUUAUUUCACUAUCGGCCAUGCAUUUGAGUUACGCUGCAGUAAAGCGCUUCAUUGUAGUAGGCUACUACGGUGAUUAUCUCUUCAGUGCGCAGCGCGAGCAGGACAGACAACAAUGCAGAAUAUUAAUAACUAUGACUGGGACUGUCAUAUGCAUAACAUUAUAAUGAGAACACUAUUAUAAUAAAACGCUGUGAAGUUUUAGAGUUUAGUUGCCGUGUUUCUGCACAUUGUUGCGUGAAGAACGUGUCAACAUGAGUUAAUUCAGAGCCGCGCAAUAGGCAAUUUGUGCAGAUAGCCUAUAAAUCGUAAUAUUAAUGUUAUGUUGUAUAAAUAACGAAGCGUAUUCCAUAUGAGAUAAAUUAUGAAUGAUCAGCGCGCGCAGCUCAAAUGCAGAACAUUAAUAACUAACUGUCAUAUACAUCAAGUUAUAAUGAGAGCACUGUUGUAAAAAAUUUGACGUAAACGCUGACGUUUAAUGUUAACUUUUAAUCAAAACAUAAAGCAUUAUUUUUGUAUCUGCGAGGCGUCCGUUACACUUUUUCCCUGUGUGUUAAAGUCAAUAAUUAUGACUGUCGAAUGUCUGACUUGACUCUUGGUAAUAUAUUUUGCCCCGCCCCCAAACAUAUGAUUCGUUUCAUAUGAUGAAACAUGAAAAUUCCGAUUCUACUAUGAAAAUCAUUAGACACCCCUAGAGUGAAGAAAAUCUUGCUGAAUUUAGGGCUGUCAAAAUUAACGUGACAAUGAGGCAUUAACGGUUUAAAAAAAAACGACAUUAAAGCAGGCUCUAUUUGACCAGAUGAAUCGCCCGUAGUUCAAGCCAGCAUUACCAGAUAUUUUCUCUACACCAAACAUUUGUAGCACGCCUCGCAUCCAAUAAUCACAAAGAGCUCUGUGCUUUCUUACUUCUGAUAAGAAACAAACUCUCAGCUUUCAAAUCCUGUACAUUCAAUCACGAAAUACAAACAAUGAAUGCUGUUUUGACGCUUUUAAAUGUGACGUGACAGAUCGCUAUUGCACCUCAGCUCAAGUUCAAGUCUCUACCAGUUUAAUAAGUUAUAGCGCAAAAUACAUAUGAAUUUACAUCAUAAGAUGUUUCAGUAUGGCUUACCAAAAUGUAUCAUGUCUGUCUAAUGUAAUUGCUCAAUCAGUGUUUCAACCGCGAAAAGACACCAAUAAAACAGAUUGUGAACAGUGACUACGUUUACAUGGACAUCAGUAAUCUAAAUAUUUACCUUAUUCUGAAUAAGACAAUAUUAUGAUUAAGGUGUUUACAUGAGUUGCUUUUAGAAUAAUCCUUUCAUGUUCCCAUUUUACAUGUUAUAGUACAUAGAUCGAUUAAUGGCACACGUCAUUACAUCACCACGCGACGCCAUCCGACGUCCCUCCAGAAUUUCACACAUAAACAUACAUAACUUCUUCGUUAUGGUGCCAUAUACAGUUUUGGGUGUUUCAUUUUAUAUUUUAUGAAAGCUUCAAGUGCAGUUAAUUAUUUGUACGUGCAUAAAGACGACGGCGGUGUUGAAGCUCUUUUAUUUGCCGUCAAACAGUUGACCACUGCCGUGUGUAUCCUGUCGGAAAAUGCAGCGAAAAGUCCUACACGGCGGUAAUAGUUUGAUUAAAGCCCGGCUCACACGUCGUCUGGGACAAAUUUUGAAAAUCCUAAAAGAUUCCUAUAAUCCUAGGCUAAAAUCGGUUUGACAUGUUCACCGACAGCCGAUUAAUGGCCGUUGCGAUCAAAUUUCACCUCCGACGAAAUUCUGGCAGUGUCAGAAGAUUUGGCGCACAGUCCUGCAGUGUGACUACCCCUACGACGAAUAUCAAACUGUCUCCGUUUUUCAAGGCAAGCUAUGAGCAGGAUUAAUGCUAGAGAAUUAUUCUAUCAGCCAAAAA
This is a long non-coding RNA of Onychostoma macrolepis, 5526 nucleotides long. RefSeq lists it as uncharacterized. NCBI's taxonomy places the organism in Eukaryota, Metazoa, Chordata, Actinopteri, Cypriniformes, Cyprinidae. The transcript is spliced from 3 exons. The record is from RefSeq and is a predicted model, not a curated record.